Spinacia oleracea (spinach) is the source of this 1335-nucleotide long non-coding RNA. RefSeq lists it as uncharacterized. The transcript has 7 exons. The record is from RefSeq and is a predicted model, not a curated record. Lineage: Eukaryota; Viridiplantae; Streptophyta; Magnoliopsida; Caryophyllales; Amaranthaceae.
GGAGAAUUCGUCGAUUUCGAUGGCUGAUGAUGAGGUACGUUGACAUGGGUCGUCAUAGGUGAAGAACAUCAGCUGAUGGAGAGGAGAAGUUGAGAAUGAAUGAAUGUCAACUGCACUAGGGAGUCAAGCAAUGAGGGAGCCAAGAGUUGCAGUUCAAACAACACGUGAUAUUGAUAUCAUAGAUGAUGGGUAUAGAUGGAGAAAAUAUGGUCAGAAAGUGGUUAAAGGAAAUCCUAAUCCAAGGAAGGGCGCCCACUCCGCCCAGGUUUGAAACAAGCUGUUGAUUAUAUUAAAGAGAAGCUGGAGUUGCUGAAGAAUCGAGCCAACUCGAACUUUAGAUUGACUCAGAUAUUCAUGGCGAGUUGACUCUGGCUCAAUACCGAACUCGAGCUUCCUCCGUCAUUUCUGGAAUAUUAGGGGUUUUUUAUUUCAAUCAAAUUCGAGGCGAAUAGGUCGGCGAAAUUGAAGCAGUGUAAGCUUGAUGCUCGCCGUGAACAAUGGCUUUUGCAAGAUUAAUGAAGGAAAGAUCUGAAAUUUUGAAAGAAAGGAGGAAGAUGAAGGUGAAAAUUAAAGAAAAACGGUCAUAGUCUGCAUUUGUCUCUUACAUGUGGUUUUUGUAUUGACAGGCCCUCUUUUACACUCAUGGAUGAUGAUUUAGAAGAAGGUAUGGUAAAUAACACCCACUGGAAUAUCAUACUUACCUUUCUUUUCUGUUUGGGAGACUGAAUCUGCCUUGAGGUGUGUUCUUGAAUGAAUUCUAGAUAAAGCUGAUGAGGAUGAUUUUGCAAGAUCAUAUUUGGGCAUACAAUCUUUGAUCACAUUCGUAAAAAGGCCAAAGAUUUCCCUGCUGUGAAAAAUUCCAGUGUCAUUCACUCUCCUACGUCAGAAAUGUCAAACACUUCAGAAAGAUAACAUUUGGGCCAUCCUAACAUCAAUGAAGAUGCCACUGUUAAUCAAGACACUAUUGAUGUUUUAGAGUCCACAGGUUUUCGUGGGGAGUUUUAUUGCAGUUGGUUAGAGAGAAGUAAAGAUUGGGAAUCCUUCAAGUUUCACCAUUUUUGUGACUGCCUUUUCCGCCAUUUUUGAAUUCUUAUAUUCUUUCUCCUCUGGUGGAGGACUUGCGGCUGAAUCAUCCUUCAAGUUUCACGGCAAAACAAGAGAUAGGGUAAUGAAAGAAAAAGGUGAAACACUUGGGUAGAGUUUUGUAUUCAGGCUAUUGGUUUUUUUUUUGUAAGCUUCUUUGUUUGGGCCCAAUAUUUAAGCCCAAUGUUUUCCUUUAAUGGGUUUACGUUGGCAUCAUUAUGUUAAGUUUCUAUCACUGCAUAAUUACUUUUA